This 85-nucleotide ribosomal RNA is filed under the name Echinococcus granulosus. RNAcentral's name for it is "partial small subunit ribosomal RNA". Lineage: Eukaryota; Metazoa; Platyhelminthes; Cestoda; Cyclophyllidea; Taeniidae. The record is from RNAcentral.
UUGUAAGAUGAUGUGAUUUAGGACUUAAUAGUAAUGUUAAAUGAGUUUGUUGAUGUGAAGAGAGUUUAGCUCAGGUACACACCGC